CGGUAAAGAGCUCGUGUUGGAUCUCAGCUCACGCUAAGUGGUCCACUUAAUGGUGGUUACUACUUAGCUGAGCAUUUUACAGAUUUGUCUCUUGAUGCUCUUUACCGAGUGUCAAGAGUGGUCUGUACGUUUACUUUGAAAAAAUUAGAGUGCUUAAAGCAGGCAACUCGCCCGAAUAAUCUUGCAUGGAAUAAUGGAAUAGGACCUUGGUUCUAUUUUGUUGGUCUCCGGAAUCUGAGGUAAUGAUUAAGAGGGACAGACGGGGGCAUUCGUAUUGCGCCGCUAGAGGUGAAAUUCUUGGACCGGCGCAAGACGAACUACAGCGAAAGCAUUUGCCAAGAAUGUUUUCAUUAAUCAAGAACGAAAGUUAGAGGUUCGAAGGCGAUCAGAUACCGCCCUAGUU
RNAcentral lists this ribosomal RNA (403 nucleotides) under Quadraseta trapezoides. RNAcentral's name for it is "SSU rRNA". It matches the Rfam family "Eukaryotic small subunit ribosomal RNA", at positions 620 to 1025 of the family's 1831-position model. The record is from RNAcentral. Lineage: Eukaryota; Metazoa; Arthropoda; Arachnida; Trombidiformes; Trombiculidae.